RNAcentral lists this ribosomal RNA (496 nucleotides) under uncultured bacterium. RNAcentral describes it as "partial 16S ribosomal RNA". It matches the Rfam family "Bacterial small subunit ribosomal RNA", at positions 28 to 506 of the family's 1533-position model. The record is from RNAcentral.
GAUGAACGCUGGCGGCGUGCCUAAUACAUGCAAGUCGAGCGAACAGAUAAGGAGCUUGCUCCUUUGACGUUAGCGGCGGACGGGUGAGUAACACGUGGAUAACCUACCUAUAAGACUGGGAUAACUUCGGGAAACCGGAGCUAAUACCGGAUAACAUAUUGAACCGCAUGGUUCAAUAGUGAAAGGCGGCUUUGCUGUCACUUAUAGAUGGAUCCGCGCCGUAUUAGCUAGUUGGUAAGGUAACGGCUUACCAAGGCAACGAUACGUAGCCGACCUGAGAGGGGGAUCGCCCCACAUGGAACUGAGAACGGUUCCAACACCCUCGGGGAGGCAGCAGUAGGGAAUCUGCCGGAAGGGGCGAAAGCCGGACGGGGCAACGCCGGGUGGGUGAGGAAGGGCUGGGGAUCGAAAAACCUUGUUAACGGGGAAAAAAAAAUGUGAAAGAAACGGUGAAAAUCUUGAGGGAACCAGUUAAAAAAGCCCCGGCUAACUACGU